GCCCCCAUUGUCUAGUGGCCCAGGACGUGGCCCUCUCAAGGCCAAAACACGGGUUCGAAUCCCGUUGGGGGCACUA
Molecule: transfer RNA, 76 nt
Filed under: Anaerolinea sp.
Lineage: Bacteria; Bacillati; Chloroflexota; Anaerolineae; Anaerolineales; Anaerolineaceae
Description: tRNA-Glu
Rfam family: tRNA
About the family: Transfer RNA (tRNA) molecules are approximately 80 nucleotides in length. Their secondary structure includes four short double-helical elements and three loops (D, anti-codon, and T loops).
Source: RNAcentral